CCCUUAUUGGAUUGGGAGGGUUCUACGGAACCCGUUUGGUGAAUCUAGUGCCGAGAAAAGCCUUCUGUUGAAUUUCUAGUACCCGUACCCCAAACCGACACAGGUGGGUGGGUAGAGCAUACCUAGGGGCGCGUGAUAACUCUCUCUAAGGAACUCGGCAAAAUGGCCCUGUAACUUCGGGAUAAGGGGUGCCUGCGUGAGCAGGCCGCAGUGAAAUGGCUCUGGCGACUGUUUACCAAAAACACAGGUCUUUGCUAAGUCGUAAGACGAUGUAUAGGGGCUGACUCCUGCCCAGUGCCGGAAGGUUAAGGAAGUUGGUUAGCGCAAGCGAAGCUGGCGACCGAAGCCCCGGUGAACGGCGGCCGUAACAAUAACGGUCCUAAGGUAGCGAAAUUCCUUGUCGGGUAAGUUCCGACCCGCACGAAAGGAGUAACGAUCAGAGCGCUGUCUCGGAGAGAGACACGGCGAAAUAGGAUUGUCCGUGAAGAUACGGACUACCUGCACCCGGACAGAAAGACCCUAUGAAGCUUUACUGUAACUUGGAAUUGUGUUCGGACUUUGUCUGCGCAGAAUAGGUGGGAGGCUAUGAAACGUUCCUCGCGGGGAACUGGAGCCAUCGUUGAGAUACCACUCUGGCAGAGUCUGGAUUCUAACCUACGGGGACAGUUCCAGGUGGGCAGUUUGACUGGGGCGGUCGCCUCCUAAAAUGUAACGGAGGCGCGCAAAGGUUCCCUCAGGCUGGUUGGAAAUCAGCCAUAGAGUGUAAAAGCAUAAGGGAGCUUGACUGUGAGACCUACGAGUCGAGCAGGGACGAAAGUCGGCUUUAGUGAUCCGACGGCACUGAGUGGAAGGGCCGUCGCUCAACGGAUAAAAGUUACUCUAAGGAUAACAGGCUGAUCUCCCCCAAGAGUUCACAUCGACGGGGAGGUUUGGCACCUCGAUGUCGGCUCGUCGCAACCUGGGGCGGUAGUACGUCCAAAGGGUUGGGCUGUUCGCCCAUUAAAGCGGCACGUGAGCUGGGUUCAGAACGUCGUGAGACAGUUCGGUCCAUAUCCGGUGUAGGCGUAGGAGCAUUGAAAGGAUCUCUCCUUAGUACGAGAGGACCGGGAGGGACGUACCUCUGGUGUACCUGUUAUCGUGCCAACGGUAAACGCAGGGUAGCCAUGUACGGAGUGGAUAACCGCUGAAAGCAUCUAAGAGGGAAGCCCACCUUAAGAUGAGUGCUCCCUUGAGGCCACGGGAAGACGACCCGUUUGAUAGGCGCUAGGUGGAAGUGCAGUAAUGCAUGCAGCCGAGGCGUACUAAUAGGCCGAUGGC
This 1317-nucleotide ribosomal RNA is filed under the name metagenome. RNAcentral describes it as "bacterial LSU rRNA". It matches the Rfam family "Bacterial large subunit ribosomal RNA", at positions 1555 to 2925 of the family's 2925-position model. The record is from RNAcentral.